ACUAGUAGAGUUAAUUAUACUCUAGAUAGAGUUAAAUGCAAUAUAAUUAACUCUCAGUCGAUAAAUAGUUGUUGUCAAAACCGAGUGUAAAAAGGAAGUGUCACUAAAUCAAACCUGUAAGUGUUAAUGUUUAAAUAUUAACUCCGAAUUUCUUACUCUAAACACUGAUCCUGUAUUUCACACUGUAAGUGUCAACGCCGCCCUUCCCCCUUACACCGCCUUAUAUCUCGACUGCGUCGAAUCGUCUGCUGAAGAGAGAGCAACGUCUCAACUUAAACGGCCGCAUUGUUCGAAAAUGCUGGCAAAGGUGGAAUACGGAGGAGUCCAAAAAUACAUAAAAGUUCCCCAAAUUGUUGAAAACUUUGACUUCCAGAAGUUUCUUCAAGAAGUAUCGGACAAAUUUAGUCUGCAGGCCCAACUUGUGACUGAAGGUGUGCUCAGCUUGACUGACACAUCAGAUACCGAGGUUGAUGCCGACACAUUCGAUGAGCUGGUCAAGUCAGGGGUGAGAAACUUCAAGGUUGGAUAUCGCCAGCAUCCAGCAACGGACAUUUGUAUUGUAUUGGAUGAAUCAGAUUCAUCUGUAAUACCAGACUCAUCACCAUCUCCUGCAUCACUGCCAGUCCCCCCGGUAUCACCAGCCUCUACGCCAGACUUCGCAGCACCGUCACCGGCGUCUUCCAAUUCAUCAGAUUCUACUAUUAUCCUCCCAACCACAAAGAACAGGAAGAGGGCCAGGAAAGAG
Acanthochromis polyacanthus (spiny chromis) is the source of this 745-nucleotide long non-coding RNA. RefSeq lists it as uncharacterized. The record is from RefSeq and is a predicted model, not a curated record. NCBI's taxonomy places the organism in Eukaryota, Metazoa, Chordata, Actinopteri, Pomacentridae. The transcript has 4 exons.